Tympanuchus pallidicinctus (lesser prairie-chicken) is the source of this 859-nucleotide long non-coding RNA. RefSeq lists it as uncharacterized. The transcript has 4 exons. NCBI's taxonomy places the organism in Eukaryota, Metazoa, Chordata, Aves, Galliformes, Phasianidae. The record is from RefSeq and is a predicted model, not a curated record.
GGAAGAAACCAUUUAAAAGAAAAAUCUUUACAAGCAAUUAUGCAUGCUGAUGCAAUCUACAUAGCAUACAGAAGAUUAUGAUCAUUACUGCCAGUGAGUUGGCAUAUGAUGAUUGUGAAUUUCUGCCACCCAGAUCAUGAGCAGCACAUGAUGGUAUUUGGAUUUUGGGAUAAUUGAUUGUUAUUCAGGUCGUUAUAUACCAGCUUCAAGCACAGCUAAUUCCCUCAGAAUUCUUUCAUAAAUGGAUGCACCUGAGGAAGAGUCUGAAGAAGGAAGGAAGUAUGCUCAGAAGACAGAAUUAUUUUGAUCUGACGUUACAAGUAUGAGACCCUUCUGAGACCUCUUCCAAAGGAAAAAAAAUGUUCCUGUUUGCCAGAUAUACAUGACUACAUGAAAGCAUGUUACAUAUAGGCUGGAGUAUAAAGCAGUUAGAAUACAUCUGAGAUCCUAAAUCAUAAACAUUCCUACACAGGAAAAGAUUGACUGUGGGAACUGCAUCAGUACAGUCUUCUGUUCCAAUCAACAAAGAUGGAAGGCUGAAUGAAGUGCUCUGAAACUCAUUAAUACAUUUGUAUAUGUACAUAUGUGUCCCCAGUUUUUUCUUAUAUUUUACAUAUUGAUCUUGCUCUCCACAUUUUUUUUUUUUUCAGAGAACCUAAAUAGAUACCAUGACUUAUAGAAGCCUGACUGUUAAGACUGAAUUACAGAUACUCAUACAAUUGAAAACAAAUAAGCAAAGAAAAUCUAGUUAACAAAACUUCUCUUUCAUUUAAUCUUUCUUUUCUGACCUGUGAUGUUAGUAUGUCAUAAAUGUUCUAGAUGAAAGUUUGUUUCGGGCAAUAAAAUACCCUUGAAUUAC